Molecule: long non-coding RNA, 518 nt
Organism: Peromyscus eremicus (cactus mouse)
Lineage: Eukaryota; Metazoa; Chordata; Mammalia; Rodentia; Cricetidae
Exons: 5
Source: RefSeq, a predicted model, not a curated record
AAACCCGCAGACUGCUGCUAUGACAACCAAAGCGACCCUUGCAUGUGAAAUGAGAGAGAAAUAACACCAGAAAGAAAAGCACCUCUUCUCUACAGUCCCACUGAUGAAGGUCUUAUUCCAGGCCAGACAACUCCUCCCAGUCCAAGCAUAAAGCCAUCAUCAUCAGAUAAGAGCCCGUUCCUGGUGCUCCAUCCCCUCCUCCUGGACCAAUUGAGAUGAUGACUACCAGCGUUAGUUAACCUGGCUCAGACUCAGAACCACAGCCAGAGUUCUCUCCUGGUUCUUCUGCCAACACCAAUCAGAUCACAACGCCCAAGAGUGUUACUACAGCUGCUGAAGACGCAGAGGUGAAUAACAAGAAAACCAAAAACAGUCUCUCUUAUUAUGAAGGGUCUUACUAAGUUGCACAGGCUGGUCUGAGGCUCAUCCUGUAACCAAGGAAGACCUUGAAGUUGUGAUACUCCUGCUCCAGCCUUCAAAAGAGUUUAGAUUACAGACCUGUUCUACUAUACAGCCUA